ACAACGUGUCCGCUUAGGCGGCGAUAUGCGCCGCCAUCUUCUUUGCGGGCAAAGGCCGAAAAAAGUUUGGGACUCCACUCCCCCCCGCUGAGCCGAUGGAGGGCAUCGCCCGCUGCCUCAGCACUCUGGUGACGUGGAAUCGGGGUCCCCUCUUUCAGGGCUGAUUUCUGGUAGCACGCUGACGCCUGCCAAGGCAGGGAAAGGGGACGCCGCCUCUGUCCCGGAUGUAAGAUGGCGGCGCGGGGGGCGGCCUGGCGGGGCGGUCACGUGGUGAGGAGUAGCGCGCGAGCCUCCUUAAGUGAUCUCUAAGGUUCAAGAGAUUCUCCUGCCUCAGCCUCCCAAGUAAUUGGAAUUACAGGCCCAUGCCACCCCACCCGGCCAAUUUUUUUUGUAUUUUUAGUAGAGAUGGGGUUUUGCCAUGUUGGCCAGGCUGGUCUCAAACUCCUGACCUCAAGUGAUCCGCCAGCCUCGGCCUCCCAAAGUGCUGGGAUUACAGGCACGAGCCACCAUGCCGGACCUAUUAGUGUAUUUACUGGAUAUCAAGAUGACUAAGAAAUAGCACUUGCCUUGAAGGAGCUUUUCUAUUUGAGGAAAAAGACAUGUAUAUAAAUAACUGCAAACAGAAUGAAACAAGUGUUAUGUAGAUCUACAUACAGUGACAUGCCAUGGGAAUGCUGAACACUGAGCAACAGUUUCAACUAGCGAAUUGGCACAGGAAACAUGAAAAAUAAGCGUAUUUUCAAUAUGACAAGAAUGGUCAUUUCUGGAUAUAAGAACAAGA
This 781-nucleotide long non-coding RNA is filed under the name Homo sapiens (human). RNAcentral describes it as "non-protein coding lnc-MON2-2:7". The record is from RNAcentral. Lineage: Eukaryota; Metazoa; Chordata; Mammalia; Primates; Hominidae.